RNAcentral lists this long non-coding RNA (1689 nucleotides) under Capra hircus (goat). Its description in RNAcentral is "lncRNA (ENSCHIG00010026431.1)". The record is from RNAcentral. Lineage: Eukaryota; Metazoa; Chordata; Mammalia; Artiodactyla; Bovidae.
GAUUAUUCCUGAAAAAUAACAUCUGUGUGUCAGAGACACUUCAGUUAUCUUUCUCCAUUUGAUGGUCUGAAACAGUUACCCUCCACAUUUCCUAAGGUCUUCAGAAUAGAUGCAUUGUGGUUGAUAGGAAGCAUCUCUAAUCCAUCUCCCCCAUCCCAAAGAGCUGUUUCUAACAUUAAUGAUUCUUUUCUAAUAUUCAUUUCUAACAUUUAAUGGAAAUUAAUUUGCUUUUCUCAAAAAUCAUAUUGAUAUCUAUUGAAUGAGAUGAUCUGCUUCUCUUUGAUUAUUAAAUAUUGUACCCUAAUAUAGUUAUUAAUGUUGAGCAAACUGUUUCUCGAGUAUUCUUUUGAUAGACCACAGACUCUGAUUCACUGAUGGCUUCUUCAGGACUUCUGCUUCUUUAUUGGUAUAUGACAUUGGCUCUGGGUGCAUGAGUGUCAUGUCUGGAUACGGGGCUUAUGCUGAUUUCAAAACAAGAAAGGAGAACUUUGCUUAUUCCCCAAUACUCUGAAAAAAUUAACUAGAAUGGAAAUUUUAUUAUUGUUAUUAUUAUCUGAAGGCUUGAAAGCAUUGGUUUAUAAUUAUGUAGGCUUAAAUCCCAUGGACAGAGGAGCCUGGCAGGCUACAGUCCAUGGGGUUACAAGAGUCAGGCACAACAGUGACUAAACCACCACCAAAGCUACUUUGAGAAGAGUUCUUUGAUAAGAGCCUUCAUUUCCUUCGUGUUAUGGGCCUGUUAAAGGGCUCUAUAUUUUCUUCCAUCCGUUUUGACAGCUUAAGAUAUCUUGCAAGAUCAUCCAUUUUGUACAUAAUUUAAAUUAUAUUCGUAAAAUAUUCCAGUGUGUUGUCAAUUAUCUUUUUAUAAUAUAUUCAUGUUUUUCUAUAGCUGAGGUUUGAGCUUUUUCUGUACCUCUGACAUGAUGCCUGUGUGCUUGCUUUUUGCUUCUUCAUUAGAUCACUUGGUGAUUUAUUUAUUUCAAAGAGAGUUUGUCUCUUAUUUUUUAAUAUGUUAGCCUUAUCUUUUGUCAUUCUUGCUUCCUGUUUCCCUUUGUCUUACUUACAAAUUUUGUUUUGACUAUUUUUAUUUAAAUGAAACAAUAAGGCAUAGAGGAAGACUUUAAGUCCUCUUGUGUGGGAAGAUUACAUUUUGCUGUGUUGUGCCCCCAGAUUUAUUGUUAUCUUACUGCUUUAUUUCUCAAGUUAAUAACCUAUGGAGUAAAAGGUGAAUAAUGUCUCAGUGCUACUCACUGGUCCAUCUGAACGUCUCACCUAAGUACAGCGCCUUGGCUUCAUUGCCGUUCUCUGAAAUUUUGCUCUAACUUGUUGCAGUUAAUGUACUAAUGUCGCAUGAAGUACUUUGCAUAUGAGAAUUGCAUUCCAUUGAAUAUCAUAAUUGUCACUGUUAUUUGAACUUAAUUCAAGGGUCACUAGAGUGAGGCAAGCCAGGUGCCAGGGAGGCACUCUUUAUCAGGCUCAUUUUGUCCAAGCACAGAAUUGGCAUAUGAGAGUAUUUCCUUAAUUCUGUACCAUGGGCACCUCUUGCUUACCUUAGCCUAGCCCUAGCCACUAACAUUUUUUUUUUCAUGAACCCACUCCCUCCAUCCACUUCUUCUGAAUAUAUUUCAGUGGAGAUAUUUUAAAACAGUACUUCAAUAUUCCUGAGUCCCAUAAUAGUGAAUAAUUUCUUUU